Molecule: long non-coding RNA, 572 nt
Organism: Polyodon spathula (Mississippi paddlefish)
Lineage: Eukaryota; Metazoa; Chordata; Actinopteri; Acipenseriformes; Polyodontidae
Exons: 4
Source: RefSeq, a predicted model, not a curated record
CCGCCUUUUAUGAAAAUAAAGUAAUGUCCUGCUACACAGAGACGAAAAGGAACCAUUCAUUCUGUAACAGUUCAUUAAUGUGAGAAAGAGCUUUAUGGGCUGCCUGGAGUCUUCACUUCAGUAUACAGGUUGCACAGCUGAUUAAAGAUGCCCUGAUAAUACGGCAUUGCUAACAGACCUGUCGUUGAGAAGCACAGCGCGGACAUCGAUUCGAGUGGAUCAUGGAAACCGGUGGUAACUGAUCGAAUUAGCAGAUAAUUCCAGUAUUUGUGUUUUGAACCCAGAAAGAGCUCACCGAUAUACAGCACGCCCUAUGCAUCUUGGAUCAUCCUCCACCCACCUCACCUCUGGGUUACCCCUCUCCCCCUGCCCACCUCGUCCUCCUCAGCUCCCAAGCCUAAUGGCCCCUCUUCUGGAUCUUAAAAUUGGAUUGUCUACUCAAGAGAAGCAUCACUGUCAACAUGUGAUACAUAUGUAAUCUGGUCAUUUGAUUGUGACCGUACUGCAUUGUUUUGUGUAUUACGGACCUGUGUAAUUGUUUGGUUUUCAGUAAAGGCUUCAUUGGUAUUACA